This 2053-nucleotide long non-coding RNA is filed under the name Gossypium barbadense (sea-island cotton). RNAcentral's name for it is "long non-coding RNA (GBAR_LNC020528)". Lineage: Eukaryota; Viridiplantae; Streptophyta; Magnoliopsida; Malvales; Malvaceae. The record is from RNAcentral.
AAAUUAAAAGAUCAAGAAUUUACCAAAACCCAAAGUUAUGGACUGCACACUUUUGGGCCUUUUCCCUUUUUUUUCUAUUCCCCCCCUUUUUUGCUGUUGGGCUGCUGCUAUUGGGCUGCGAAGGACUGGGUCGAAUCUGCUGGCCUGCUGGAUCAGCUGAGGUGCGGGCCGUGUGGAGUGGGCCGAUUGCUGGGUGCUGGACUGUACUGCUGCCCAACUGCUGGAAUGGGCCUGCUGUUGGCAUGCUAAAAAUGGCCUGCUUUCUUUUUUUUCUGCUGGGUUGCUGUUUUGGGCCACUGGGAAUGGGCCUGCUGCUGCUGCUGGUGUGGCCUGCUGGGAGUGGAAUGGCCUGCUGUUGGCUGGACGGGUCUGCUGUGCUGCCUGGGUGUGGACUGGCCUGCUGUUGGGUUGAUGGGUGCCGUGGGUUGGGUCGGUUUGGUCGGGUCGGGUUGACCCGACUGUGAUAUAUAUAUAAUUUUUUCUUUUUUCUUUUUUCUUUUCUUUCUCUUUUUUUUCUUCGGGCCGAACCCUAGCCUUACGCCGCCGCUAACGCUUCCUCCGUUCGGUGGUGCAGUGGUCGGUGCGCCUCCCUUCUCCUCUCUCUCUCUCUUUUUUUUCUUUUCUCUUCUCUUUUCUCCCUUCUUUUUCCUUUUGGUUGCUGUUUUUUUUUCUUUUUUACUUGCUGUUUUUUUUUUCUUUUUUGCUUGUUGCCUUGCUUGAUUGUGUUGUAGGUGCUGGCGGUGGAAGGAAAGCAAGGGCACGGUGGUGGUGAAGGGCGGCCGGAUUUUUGAACUCUUUCUUUUGUUUUUUUUUCUGCUGCUGCUUUUUUUGUUUUGCUUUUCUUUUUGAUUAAUUGUGGCUUUCAAGUGGUUGAGGUAAGGGGAAAAAGAUGGUGGCGGUAGUUGCGUGAUGGUGGUGAGGGCCCUUUUGCUGCUGUUUUCUUGGUGUUUUUGCUGCUAUUUUCUUUCAUUUUUUUUUACUUUCUCCAUGUUUUACUCUUGUUUACUUUUUUUUUUUUGAGGGUUUUUCACGUGAAAUGUUUGUGUUCGAUCUUCUCCACUUUUACUAUCUCGUUGUUUAUGCUAGUCGAUCCCCAAUAGAUAGCAAACAUAGGGCAUGUUUAGUAGCACUUAAAAAAAACACUUCUGGCUCCAAAAAUAUUUUUAAAAGAAAAGUUGUGCUAAAUAAGUUGCUUUUGGCUAAAUUUUUUUUGCUCAAAAACACUUUUGAAAAGAAAAAGCUAAAAUUUUUUAGCUUUGCUUUCACAAAAACAUUUUUGAUGCUUAAUUACUUUUUAUCCCUCCAAUAAUAUAGUACUUUCCCUUUUUUUCUUUUAAUUGCUUAAUUACAAAUGUGUUAAAAUCAUUCAUUAAAAUAAAAUAAAAAAUAUUUUUUAAAAUAUUAAUUACAAAUAUUUAAUUGUUAUAUUUAAAUAUUUAAAAUAUGAUUUAUAUAUUUUAAUUAAACUUUUUAAAUAAUUAAUAUUUAUUGUUUAAAAUAUUUAAAUUUAUAUUGCAUAUAUUUAAAUAUGAAAAAAUAACAAGGAAAUGGAAAUUAUGGAAUUGAUAAGCUCAUCAAUCAUGGUAUAAAUUACUGAUACAUAGAAAUUGUUGGACUAAUUUGAAUGUUGAGUUUGUGCAUGAUAAGGGAAUAAUGUAUGGAAUGGGUGUAUGAAUAUUUAUUGCAUUGUAUUGAAAAUAUUAGGUAAGUAUAAUCCUUGUUACAUGAACUUACUAAGCAUAAAGUGCUUACCUGUUUCUUUUUCUCUUAUUUUGUAGUGUUAAGAGCUCGGAGGUUGGAUUCGGUUAGAGACGUAUCACACUAUCAACCUCAAGAUCUCGGUAUAUAAAGAAACUUUAUUUUGGAAAUCGAUGGCAUUUAUAAGCUAGUAAAGUAAAUGUUAAUGUGAAAUGAAUGAAUGGUUAGCCAUUGGUAUGACUAACAAAUUUUGGUUUUGGUAUGUGAUGAGGUUAUCUUAUGAAGACGUUAAAUCUAUCUUGAAAAUAUGUUGAAAUUGAUUGGUUGUGUUGGUUUGGUCUCGGUUUAAAAUUGC